This is a non-coding RNA of Turdus rufiventris (rufous-bellied thrush), 93 nucleotides long. Lineage: Eukaryota; Metazoa; Chordata; Aves; Passeriformes; Turdidae. The record is from the annotation of a GenBank genome assembly.
GCAGGCGAUGGCUGGGUGCACAAGGCGCUGGAUUUGGGCUCCCGCAUCCACCUGGUGGAGGAGCUGCAGGUGUUCGAGCCGGCCCAGCCCGUG